Molecule: long non-coding RNA, 150 nt
Organism: Micropterus salmoides (largemouth bass)
Lineage: Eukaryota; Metazoa; Chordata; Actinopteri; Centrarchiformes; Centrarchidae
Exons: 2
Source: RefSeq, a predicted model, not a curated record
UAUGUAGCUUGUCGGAGUUUUCAGCGUCUUGUAAACGCUGUAUUUGUAUGUUUAGGAAGCAGAGGUAAUGUAAGAGGAGGCCAGGGGGCAAUUGAUGUGUGCAUUGUGUUCUGCAGAUGUGCGAGCCAAUAAAUCGUGGAAAAGAAGUGA